Molecule: ribosomal RNA, 253 nt
Filed under: uncultured bacterium
Lineage: Bacteria
Description: partial 16S ribosomal RNA
Rfam family: Bacterial small subunit ribosomal RNA
Source: RNAcentral
UACGUAGGGUGCAAGCGUUGUCCGGAAUUAUUGGGCGUAAAGAGCUCGUAGGCGGUUCGUCGCGUCGGCUGUGAAAACCCGGAGCUCAACUCCGGGCCUGCAGUCGAUACGGGCGGACUUGAGUGUUGCAGGGGAGACUGGAAUUCCUGGUGUAGCGGUGGAAUGCGCAGAUAUCAGGAGGAACACCGGUGGCGAAGGCGGGAUCCUGGGCCAGUACUGACGCUGAGGAGCGAAAGCGUGGGGAGCAAACAGG